Molecule: ribosomal RNA, 200 nt
Filed under: uncultured bacterium
Lineage: Bacteria
Description: partial 16S ribosomal RNA
Rfam family: Bacterial small subunit ribosomal RNA
Source: RNAcentral
AGAGUUUGAUCCUGGCUCAGGACGAACGCUGGCGGCGUGCUUAACACAUGCAAGUCGAACGAGGCACUUGUGCCUAGUGGCGAACGGGUGAGUAACACGUGAGCAACCUGCCCUUGGCUCUGGGAUAGCCUCCGGAAACGGGGAUUAAUACCGGACAUGACUCCUUACGGCAUCGUUUGGGGUGGAAAGUUUUUCGGCCA